This is a long non-coding RNA of Drosophila albomicans, 257 nucleotides long. RefSeq lists it as uncharacterized. The transcript is spliced from 2 exons. NCBI's taxonomy places the organism in Eukaryota, Metazoa, Arthropoda, Insecta, Diptera, Drosophilidae. The record is from RefSeq and is a predicted model, not a curated record.
UAUCGUUGCCGUUCUCGUUGGGCCAGUUGUGGUUCUGGAUGAUGUUGCCGCUGCCAACCGAGUGGGUGAACUGGGCGUUGGUACGCCAGGUGGCACCGUAGUAGAUGGUCACAGAGCUGGCACCGUUGGUGCAGUGAGCAGCAGUCAGCACCCAGUCGUGAGCAAUGAUGGAACCACCGCACCACCAACCGUUGAAGCUCAGGCCAACAGCGUAGGGGGCCUUGCCCUCGUAGGCUGGGUAGCCAUUGGUAAUGCGU